Molecule: ribosomal RNA, 484 nt
Filed under: uncultured bacterium
Lineage: Bacteria
Description: partial 16S ribosomal RNA
Rfam family: Bacterial small subunit ribosomal RNA
Source: RNAcentral
AUUGAACGCUGGCGGCAGGCCUAACACAUGCAAGUCGAGCGGAUGAAGGGAGCUUGCUCCUGGAUUCAGCGGCGGACGGGUGAGUAAUGCCUAGGAAUCUGCCUGGUAGUGGGGGAUAACGUCCGGAAACGGGCGCUAAUACCGCAUACGUCCUGAGGGAGAAAGUGGGGGAUCUUCGGACCUCACGCUAUCAUAUGAGCCUAGGUCGGAUUAGCUAGUUGGUGGGGUAAAGGCCUACAAAGGCGACGGUUCGUAACUGGUCUGAGAGGAUGAUCAGUCACACUGGAACUGAGACACGGUCCCGACUCCUACGGUAGUCAGCAGUGGGGAAUAGUGGACAAUGGGCGGAAGCCUGGUUCAGCCAUGCAGCGUGUGUGAAAAAGGUCUUCCGAUUGUAAAGCACUUUAAGUUGAGAGGAAGGGCAGUAAGUUAAUACCUUGCUGUUUUGACGUUACCUACAGAAUAAGCACCGGCUAACUUCGUG